RNAcentral lists this ribosomal RNA (484 nucleotides) under uncultured bacterium. Its description in RNAcentral is "partial 16S ribosomal RNA". It matches the Rfam family "Bacterial small subunit ribosomal RNA", at positions 30 to 507 of the family's 1533-position model. The record is from RNAcentral.
AUUGAACGCUGGCGGAAUGCUUUACACAUGCAAGUCGAACGGCAGCACGGGGGCAGCCCUGGUGGCGAGUGGCGAACGGGUGAGUAAUACAUCGGAACGUGCCCGGUCGUGGGGGAUAACGUAGCGAAAGUUACGCUAAUACCGCAUACGAUCUGAGGAUGAAAGCGGGGGACCUUCGGGCCUCGCGCGAUCGGAGCGGCCGAUGUCAGAUUAGGUAGUUGGUGGGGUAAAGGCCUACCAAGCCGACGAUCUGUAGCUGGUCUGAGAGGACGACCAGCCACACUGGGACUGAGACACGGCCCAGACUCCUACGGGAGGCAGCAGUGGGGAAUUUUGGACAAUGGGCGCAAGCCUGAUCCAGCCAUUCCGCGUGCAGGACGAAGGCCUUCGGGUUGUAAACUGCUUUUGUACGGAACGAAAAGGCUCUGGCUAAUACCUGGGGCUCAUGACGGUACCGUAAGAAUAAGCACCGGCUAACUACAUG